Molecule: ribosomal RNA, 111 nt
Filed under: uncultured bacterium
Lineage: Bacteria
Description: partial 16S ribosomal RNA
Rfam family: Bacterial small subunit ribosomal RNA
Source: RNAcentral
CCCGGGUCUUGUACACACCGCCCGUCACACCAUGGGAGCGGGAUGUACCAGAAGUAGGUAGGCUAACCGCAAGGGGGCCGCUUACCACGGUGCGUUUUCGUGACUGGGGUG